CUGUGAGCUCGAUGAGUAGGGCGGGACACGUGGUAUCCUGUCUGAAUAUGGGGGGACCAUCCUCCAAGGCUAAAUACUCCUGACUGACCGAUAGUGAACCAGUACCGUGAGGGAAAGGCGAAAAGAACCCCGGCGAGGGGAGUGAAAAAGAACCUGAAACCGUGUACGUACAAGCAGUGGGAGCACAGAGCAAUCUGUGUGACUGCGUACCUUUUGUAUAAUGGGUCAGCGACUUAUAUUCUGUAGCAAGGUUAACCGAAUAGGGGAGCCGAAGGGAAACCGAGUCUUAACUGGGCGUUAAGUUGCAGGGUAUAGACCCGAAACCCGGUGAUCUAGCCAUGGGCAGGUUGAAGGUUGGGUAACACUAACUGGAGGACCGAACCGACUAAUGUUGAAAAAUUAGCGGAUGACUUGUGGCUGGGGGUGAAAGGCCAAUCAAACCGGGAGAUAGCUGGUUCUCCCCGAAAGCUAUUUAGGUAGCGCCUCGUGAAUUCAUCUCCGGGGGUAGAGCACUGUUUCGGCAAGGGGGUCAUCCCGACUUACCAACCCGAUGCAAACUGCGAAUACCGGAGAAUGUUAUCACGGGAGACACACGGCGGGUGCUAACGUCCGUCGUGAAGAGGGAAACAACCCAGACCGCCAGCUAAGGUCCCAAAGUCAUGGUUAAGUGGGAAACGAUGUGGGAAGGCCCAGACAGCCAGGAUGUUGGCUUAGAAGCAGCCAUCAUUUAAAGAAAGCGUAAUAGCUCACUGGUCGAGUCGGCCUGCGCGGAAGAUGUAACGGGGCUAAACCAUGCACCGAAGCUGCGGCAGCGACGCUUAUGCGUUGUUGGGUAGGGGAGCGUUCUGUAAGCCUGUGAAGGUGUGCUGUGAGGCAUGCUGGAGGUAUCAGAAGUGCGAAUGCUGACAUAAGUAACGAUAAAGCGGGUGAAAAGCCCGCUCGCCGGAAGACCAAGGGUUCCUGUCCAACGUUAAUCGGGGCAGGGUGAGUCGACCCCUAAGGCGAGGCCGAAAGGCGUAGUCGAUGGGAAACAGGUUAAUAUUCCUGUACUUGGUGUUACUGCGAAGGGGGGACGGAGAAGGCUAUGUUGGCCGGGCGACGGUUGUCCCGGUUUAAGCGUGUAGGCUGGUUUUCCAGGCAAAUCCGGAAAAUCAAGGCUGAGGCGUGAUGACGAGGCACUACGGUGCUGAAGCAACAAAUGCCCUGCUUCCAGGAAAAGCCUCUAAGCAUCAGGUAACAUCAAAUCGUACCCCAAACCGACACAGGUGGUCAGGUAGAGAAUACCAAGGCGCUUGAGAGAACUCGGGUGAAGGAACUAGGCAAAAUGGUGCCGUAACUUCGGGAGAAGGCACGCUGAUAUGUAGGUGAAGUCCCUCGCGGAUGGAGCUGAAAUCAGUCGAAGAUACCAGCUGGCUGCAACUGUUUAUUAAAAACACAGCACUGUGCAAACACGAAAGUGGACGUAUACGGUGUGACGCCUGCCCGGUGCCGGAAGGUUAAUUGAUGGGGUUAGCGGUAACGCGAAGCUCUUGAUCGAAGCCCCGGUAAACGGCGGCCGUAACUAUAACGGUCCUAAGGUAGCGAAAUUCCUUGUCGGGUAAGUUCCGACCUGCACGAAUGGCGUAAUGAUGGCCAGGCUGUCUCCACCCGAGACUCAGUGAAAUUGAACUCGCUGUGAAGAUGCAGUGUACCCGCGGCAAGACGGAAAGACCCCGUGAACCUUUACUAUAGCUUGACACUGAACAUUGAGCCUUGAUGUGUAGGAUAGGUGGGAGGCUUAGAAGUGUGGACGCCAGUCUGCAUGGAGCCGGCCUUGAAAUACCACCCUUUAAUGUUUGAUGUUCUAACGUUGGCCCCUGAUCGGGGUUGCGGACAGUGUCUGGUGGGUAGUUUGACUGGGGCGGUCU
This 1907-nucleotide ribosomal RNA is filed under the name Escherichia coli. RNAcentral describes it as "partial 23S ribosomal RNA". It matches the Rfam family "Bacterial large subunit ribosomal RNA", at positions 397 to 2285 of the family's 2925-position model. The record is from RNAcentral. Lineage: Bacteria; Pseudomonadati; Pseudomonadota; Gammaproteobacteria; Enterobacterales; Enterobacteriaceae.